This 229-nucleotide long non-coding RNA is filed under the name Mus spicilegus (steppe mouse). Its description in RNAcentral is "lncRNA (ENSMSIG00000012635.1)". The record is from RNAcentral. Lineage: Eukaryota; Metazoa; Chordata; Mammalia; Rodentia; Muridae.
CUUCUGUUUUGAUUGAUGAGAUUUGUCUGAAUCUGAGAAUUUGCAUGAAAGAUUCAGGUGUAAAACAUUCUGGUGAUUAUAUUUGGUGAACAAAAUGCUACCUUGAUAUGUAUUGCAAAACAUAUUGCAGCAAUAAAGAUCAUUACCAGAAGCACCCUGUGGAGGGCAAGGAAUUUUUCAAAAUGAGCUGAACAUGUUUUUAAUGUCUAUGAGAAAUAAAGACUUGUGG